RNAcentral lists this RNase P RNA (328 nucleotides) under Candidatus Woesearchaeota archaeon CG10_big_fil_rev_8_21_14_0_10_32_24. RNAcentral's name for it is "RNase P RNA component". It matches the Rfam family "Archaeal RNase P". Rfam says of the family: Ribonuclease P (RNase P) is a ubiquitous endoribonuclease, found in archaea, bacteria and eukarya as well as chloroplasts and mitochondria. The record is from RNAcentral. Lineage: Archaea; Nanobdellati; Candidatus Woesearchaeota.
GGUAGUGGUAGUAGAAAGCAUAGGGUUCUAAACCCAGGAAAGUCCGCCCAUCGCGCAUCAUGGUUACCUUUGAAAGAAGGGUGGGGAAAUCCCACAGCUCUGGAUUAUAAACGACACGUCCUGCAGAAUGGAAUGAUAGGAAGUCCUAAAUGGCGAAAUCGUCUGAGAAGACGAUGAGUUAACUCCUUGACGUCUCUGCAGGGAACGAUGAAACGGCGAAUCUUAACCGAUGCAAGUCAGUUUGACGCUUAGUAGAAUGCUUUCAUGGAUUAUCGUAAUCCUCACAGAUUAUUUGGGUCCAACAAAAGGUGGCUUACGCUACCCUACC